This 459-nucleotide ribosomal RNA is filed under the name uncultured bacterium. RNAcentral's name for it is "partial 16S ribosomal RNA". It matches the Rfam family "Bacterial small subunit ribosomal RNA", at positions 338 to 795 of the family's 1533-position model. The record is from RNAcentral.
CCUACGGGCGGCUGCAGUGAGGAAUAUUGGUCAAUGGCCGGAAGGCUGAUCCAGCCAAGCCGCGUGAAGGACGAAGGUGCCAAGCUUUGUAAACUUCUUUUGUCAGGGGACAAAAUCAGGCUCGAGCGCCUGACCGAGGGUACUUGAAGAAAAAGCAACGGCUAACUCCGUGCCAGCAGCCGCGGUAAUACGGGGGAUGCGCGCGUUAUCCGGAUUUAUUGGGGUUAAGGGGUGCGUAGGCGGACUGUUAAGUCAGCGGGAACAGCCCGGGGCUAAACCCCGGCGAGCCGUUGAAACUGGCUGUCUUGAGAUGUCGAGAGGUAUGCGGAAUGCGCAGUGUAGCGGUGAAAUGCUUAGAUAUUGCGCAGAACUCCGAUUGCGAAGGCAGCAUACCGGCGGCGAUCUGACGCUGAGGCACGAAAGCGUGGGUAUCGAACAGGAUUAGAUACCCUUGUAGUC